Molecule: ribosomal RNA, 1452 nt
Filed under: uncultured bacterium
Lineage: Bacteria
Description: bacterial SSU rRNA
Rfam family: Bacterial small subunit ribosomal RNA
Source: RNAcentral
GACGAACGCCUGGCGGCGUGCUUAACACAUGCAAGUCGAGCGAGAAAGCUACCUUCGGGUAGUUAGUAAAGCGGCGAACGGGUGAGUAACGCGUGGGUAUCUACCUUUAAGUCCGGGAUAACUUUCCGAAAGGAAAGCUAAUACUGGAUAAUCUCCUUCGGGAGCAAAGGUCAGUUUUGCUGACACUUAAGGAUGAGCCCGCGUCCCAUUAGCUAGUUGGUGAGAUAACAGCUCACCAAGGCAGCGAUGGGUAGCCGACCUGAGAGGGUGAUCGGCCACACUGGGACUGAGACACGGCCCAGACUCCUACGGGAGGCUGCAGUGGGGAAUCUUCCGCAAUGGGCGUAAGCCUGACGGAGCAACGCCGCGUGGGUGAAGAAGGCCUUCGGGUCGUAAAGCCCUGUCUUCAGGGACGAACCCCCUGACUGUUAAAACAGUCAGGUUUGACGGUACCUGAAGAGGAAGCCCCGGCUAAUUACGUGCCAGCAGCCGCGGUAACACGUAAGGGGCAAGCGUUGUCCGGAAUCACUGGGCGUAAAGGGUGUGCAGGCGGUCUAGCAAGUCAGAGGUGAAAGCCAUCGGCUUAACCGAUGAAGUGCCUUUGAAACUGUUAGACUUGAGGGUAGGAGAGGAAAGUGGAAUUCCCGGUGUAGUGGUGAAAUACGUAGAGAUCGGGAAGAAUACCAAUGGUGAAAACAGCUUUCUGGCCUGACCCUGACGCUGAGGCACGAAAGCCAGGUUAGCAAACGGGAUUAGAUACCCCGGUAGUCCUGGCUGUAAACGAUGGACACUGAGUGUUGGAGGUUAAACUCCUUCAGUGCUGCAGUUAACGCGUUAAGUGUCCCGCCUGGGGAUUACGACCGCAAGGUUGAAACUCAAAGGAAUUGACGGGGGCCCGCACAAGCGGCGGAGCAUGUGGUUCAAUUCGAUGCAACGCGCAGAACCUUACCAGGGCUUGACAUCCCGUGUCAGUCUGUGAAAACAGAUGUUGGCUCUUUUGAGUCACACGGUGACAGGUGGUGCAUGGCUGUCGUCAGCUCGUGUCGUGAGAUGUUGGGUUAAGUCCCGCAACGAGCGUAACCCCUAUCCUUAGUUGCCAGCGAGUAAUGUCGGGGACUCUAGGGAGACUGCCGGGGGAGCAACCCGGAGGAAGGUGGGGACGACGUCAAGUCAUCAUGCCCCUUAUGUCCUGGGCUACACACGUGCUACAAUGGCCUGUACAGAGGGCAGCGACACCGCGAGGUGGAGCAAACCCCAGANAGCAGGUCUCAGUUCGGAUCGCAGGUUGCAACUCGUCUGCAUGAAGCUGGAGUCGCUAGUAAUCGUGGAUCAGAAUGUCACGGUGAAUCCGUUCCCGGGCUUUGUACACACCGCCCGUCACACCACCCGAGUUGGAGGCACCUGAAAGUCACUCUAUGAAGUGCCGAAGGUGGCGUUCCGAUAAGGGGGGUA